UAGAUACAUAGAUUUGCCAGUGUGAUGCU
This 29-nucleotide non-coding RNA is filed under the name Mus musculus (house mouse). The record is from RNAcentral. Lineage: Eukaryota; Metazoa; Chordata; Mammalia; Rodentia; Muridae.